RNAcentral lists this ribosomal RNA (816 nucleotides) under Rhizophagus cf. irregularis MUCL 41833. Its description in RNAcentral is "eukaryotic LSU rRNA". It matches the Rfam family "Eukaryotic large subunit ribosomal RNA", at positions 1 to 668 of the family's 3401-position model. Lineage: Eukaryota; Fungi; Glomeromycota; Glomeromycetes; Glomerales; Glomeraceae. The record is from RNAcentral.
ACCUCAAAUCAGGUAAGAACACCCGCUGAACUUAAGCAUAUCAAUAAGCGGAGGAAAAGAAAAUAACAAUGAUUCCCCUAGUAACUGCGAGUGAAGAGGGAUAAGCUCAAAUUUUAAAUCUAUCGGGUUUUACCUGAUCGAGUUGUAAUUUGAAGAGGCGUUUUCUGCGUGUUUGGUCAGCCUAAGUCCUAUUGAAUGAGGCAUCAUGGAGGGUGAUAAUCCCGUCCGGUUGAUCAUUUGCGUUUUACGAUACGCUUUCUAAGAGUCAAGUUGUUUGGGAUUGCAGCUUAAAAUGGGAGGUAAAUUUCUCCUAAGGCUAAAUAACGGCGAGAGACCGAUAGCGAACAAGUACCGUGAGGGAAAGAUGAAAAGAACUUUGAAAAGAGAGUUAAACAGUACGUGAAAUUGUUGAAAGGGAAACGAUUGAAGCCAGUCGUACCUUCGGGUAAUCAGCCUUUCGGGUGCGAUUCUGUGGAGUGUGAGGAGCUUAACACCUUCAUGCUUUGCAUAUUUGUGCUCUUGGGUGUACUUGCCCGUGUGGUUGGUUAACAUCAAUUUUGGUUAUCAUAAAAUGAUUGGAGGAAUGUAGCUUCGAUCUUGUAUUGAAGUGUUAUAGCCUUCGGUAAAUGUGAUGAACGAGAUUGAGGAUUGCAACGGAUACCCUUCGGGGCUACCUGUCUGGUCUCUGAUCGUUGCUCUGGUGCCGAAAGCUUGCUUACGGUCAUCAAAGUCGAUGGUCAAUAGGUUAGAACGGGUUAAAUUCGUUAAGGAUGUUGACGUAAUGGCUUUAAACGACCCGUCUUGAAACACGGACCA